GGCUGAUGUAAAGAUAGUAAGUUAUCCAAGUUGAUUGUUCAUAGCUACAGAAUUAACUCCUUGUUUUACUCUUUCUCCCCUUCUCACUACUGCACUUGACUAGUCUAAA
Molecule: unclassified non-coding RNA, 109 nt
Organism: Cercocebus atys (sooty mangabey)
Lineage: Eukaryota; Metazoa; Chordata; Mammalia; Primates; Cercopithecidae
Rfam family: Y RNA
About the family: Y RNAs are components of the Ro ribonucleoprotein particle (Ro RNP), in association with Ro60 and La proteins. The Y RNAs and Ro60 and La proteins are well conserved, but the function of the Ro RNP is not known.
Source: Ensembl